CUGCUGGGAGAGGGGCAAGACCAGGGAGAGACUUCCUUCAUUCCACAGGUAUAGAAUAACCAGAUUUUUAAAGACCCAACCUGGAACACACCUAGAAGAUUUCUUUGCUGAGGAUGUGGAUGUAAGGACCUGUAUCAAGUUUGGAGGAAUGUGAUUCACAGACUAAAGGGGUCUUUGUCUUGCACUUCUGAACAGACAUAAAAACAAUUAUACCUAUCCAAAGCUGUAGUUUGACAAUUAGCCUGACAGACUGUCAUGGAUUUCAUUCAAAUUUUUAGGGCAAAAUACACAUGGAACAUAAUGGA
Non-coding RNA from Ictidomys tridecemlineatus (thirteen-lined ground squirrel), 305 nucleotides. Lineage: Eukaryota; Metazoa; Chordata; Mammalia; Rodentia; Sciuridae. The record is from RefSeq and is a predicted model, not a curated record.